GGGCCAGUGGCACAAUGGAUAAUGCGUCUGACUACAGAUCAGAAGAUUGUAGGUUCAACGCCUGCCUGGCUUG
This is a transfer RNA of Alligator mississippiensis (American alligator), 73 nucleotides long. It matches the Rfam family "tRNA". Rfam says of the family: Transfer RNA (tRNA) molecules are approximately 80 nucleotides in length. Their secondary structure includes four short double-helical elements and three loops (D, anti-codon, and T loops). Further hydrogen bonds mediate the characteristic L-shaped molecular structure. tRNAs have two regions of fundamental functional importance: the anti-codon, which is responsible for specific mRNA codon recognition, and the 3' end, to which the tRNAs corresponding amino acid is attached (by aminoacyl-tRNA synthetases). tRNAs cope with the degeneracy of the genetic code in two manners: having more than one tRNA (with a specific anti-codon) for a particular amino acid; and 'wobble' base-pairing, i.e. permitting non-standard base-pairing at the 3rd anti-codon position. The record is from Rfam. NCBI's taxonomy places the organism in Eukaryota, Metazoa, Chordata, Crocodylia, Alligatoridae.